GAUGAAGAACGCAGCGAAAUGCGAUAAGUAAUGUGAAUUGCAGAAUUCAGUGAAUCAUCGAAUCUUUGAACGCACAUUCGCCCCUUGGUAUUCCGAGGGGCAUGCCUGUUCGAGCGUCAUUAUAACCCCUCAAGCUCAGCUUGGUGUUGGGGCCUGCUGCACUGGCAGCCCUUAAAAUCAGUGGCGGCGCCAUCUGGCUCUAAGCGUAGUAAUUCUUCUCGCUAUGGAGUCCUGGUGGAUGCUUGCCAUCAACCCCCAAUUUUUCUAUGGUUGACCUCGGAUCAGGUAGGGAUACCCGCUGAACUUAAGCAUAUCAAUAAGCGGAGGA
RNAcentral lists this unclassified non-coding RNA (328 nucleotides) under soil metagenome. RNAcentral describes it as "partial contains 5.8S ribosomal RNA, internal transcribed spacer 2, and large subunit ribosomal RNA". The stretch from base 1 to 119 matches the Rfam family "5.8S ribosomal RNA", at positions 35 to 154 of the family's 154-position model. The record is from RNAcentral.